Molecule: ribosomal RNA, 253 nt
Filed under: uncultured bacterium
Lineage: Bacteria
Description: partial 16S ribosomal RNA
Rfam family: Bacterial small subunit ribosomal RNA
Source: RNAcentral
UACAGAGACUGCAAGCGUUGUUCGGAUUCAUUGGGCGUAAAGGGUCCGUAGGCGGUCGGUUAAGUCGGAUGUGAAAUCUCACAGCCUAACUGUGAGCGGUCAUUCGAAACUAAUCGGCUAGAGGGCUGGAGAGGAGACUGGAAUUGUCGGUGUAGCGGUGAAAUGCGUAGAUAUCGGGAGGAACACCUGUGGCGAAAGCGGCGCACUGGACCACAACUGACGCUGAGGCGCGAAAGCUAGGGGAGCAAACAGG